GCUUUGAAGAUGCCACGAUGAAGCACCACCUUCCAGGAACA
This 41-nucleotide transfer RNA is filed under the name Tarentola mauritanica (Moorish gecko). RNAcentral describes it as "partial tRNA-Phe". The record is from RNAcentral. Lineage: Eukaryota; Metazoa; Chordata; Lepidosauria; Squamata; Phyllodactylidae.